RNAcentral lists this ribosomal RNA (500 nucleotides) under uncultured bacterium. RNAcentral describes it as "partial 16S ribosomal RNA". It matches the Rfam family "Bacterial small subunit ribosomal RNA", at positions 30 to 523 of the family's 1533-position model. The record is from RNAcentral.
AUCGAACGCUGGCGGUAUGCUUAACACAUGCAAGUCGAACGGUAACGGGCUUUUCGGAGCGCCGACGAGUGGCGAACGGGUGAGUAAUACGUAGGAACUUGCCUACUAGAGAGGGAUAACUUAGGGAAACUUAAGCUAAUACCUCGUAAUAUCUAAGGAUUAAAGCAUGGGACCUUCGGGCCAUGCGCUAGGAGAUAGGCCUGCGUUGGAUUAGCUUGUUGGUGGGGUAAAGGCCUACCAAGGCGAUGAUCCAUAGCUGUUCUGAGAGGAUGAUCAGCCACACUGGAACUGAGACACGGUCCAGACUCCUACGGGAGGCAGCAGUGGGGAAUUUUGGACAAUGGACGCAAGUCUGAUCCAGCCAUUCCGCGUGCAGGAUGAAGGCCCUCGGGUUGUAAACUGCUUUUGUACGGAACGAAAAGGUCACUCUUAAUACGGGGGACUCAUGACGGUACCGUAAGAAUAAGCACCGGCUAACUACGUGCCAGCCGCCGCCGUAA